UACAGAGGUCCCAAGCGUUGUUCGGAUUCACUGGGCGUAAAGGGUGCGUAGGCGGUCGGGUAAGUCUGUCGUGAAAUCUCCGAGCCCAACUCGGAAACUGCGUCGGAUACUAUUCGGCUAGAGGAAUGGAGGGGAGACUGGAAUUCUCGGUGUAGCAGUGAAAUGCGUAGAUAUCGAGAGGAACACCAGUGGCGAAGGCGGCGCUCUGGGCCGGAACUGACGCUGAGGAGCGAAAGCGUGGGGAGCAAACAGG
RNAcentral lists this ribosomal RNA (253 nucleotides) under uncultured bacterium. RNAcentral describes it as "partial 16S ribosomal RNA". It matches the Rfam family "Bacterial small subunit ribosomal RNA", at positions 524 to 776 of the family's 1533-position model. The record is from RNAcentral.